Molecule: ribosomal RNA, 554 nt
Filed under: Escherichia coli
Lineage: Bacteria; Pseudomonadati; Pseudomonadota; Gammaproteobacteria; Enterobacterales; Enterobacteriaceae
Description: partial 23S ribosomal RNA
Rfam family: Bacterial large subunit ribosomal RNA
Source: RNAcentral
CACCGAAGCUGCGGCAGCGACGCUGAUGCGUUGUUGGGUAGGGGAGCGUUCUGUAAGCCUGCGAAGGUGUGCUGUGAGGCAUGCUGGAGGUAUCAGAAGUGCGAAUGCUGACAUAAGUAACGAUAAAGCGGGUGAAAAGCCCGCUCGCCGGAAGACCAAGGGUUCCUGUCCAACGUUAAUCGGGGCAGGGUGAGUCGACCCCUAAGGCGAGGCCGAAAGGCGUAGUCGAUGGGAAACAGGUUAAUAUUCCUGUACUUGGUGUUACUGCGAAGGGGGGACGGAGAAGGCUAUGUUGGCCGGGCGACGGUUGUCCCGGUUUAAGCGUGUAGGCUGGUUUUCCAGGCAAAUCCGGAAAAUCAAGGCUGAGGCGUGAUGACGAGGCACUACGGUGCUGAAGCAACAAAUGCCCUGCUUCCAGGAAAAGCCUCUAAGCAUCAGGUAACAUCAAAUCGUACCCCAAACCGACACAGGUGGUCAGGUAGAGAAUACCAAGGCGCUUGAGAGAACUCGGGUGAAGGAACUAGGCAAAAUGGUGCCGUAACUUCGGGAGAAGG